RNAcentral lists this long non-coding RNA (1683 nucleotides) under Triticum aestivum (bread wheat). RNAcentral describes it as "long non-coding RNA (TAES_LNC016340)". Lineage: Eukaryota; Viridiplantae; Streptophyta; Magnoliopsida; Poales; Poaceae. The record is from RNAcentral.
AGGUUCCAUAUUUUUGUACUCGACAACGUUGUCUCGUCCUUCGCUCUCUCCAGUUGGAUCUCUUACAACCAAUGCUGCAACUUCCUAUGCAGAUGGAAGGUUGUGUGUUCCGUUCCUUUUCCCAAGUAUCUGAAGUGUGUAAUCGUGGUAGUCUUCUUCUUUGAAUCUAUCUCUUGCCAUUCUGAAAGAUUUCGCGAGGAUGUUGUUCUCAUCAAGCAUAUUUUGUAGUUUUUCGACAAUGGCAGUGUUCACCGUUGAUUUUUUAUCAUUGCAUCUUGAAGCAUCUAUCCUGUUUUGAACCUCAUUUUCUGUCUGAUAGAUGUAUAGCUGGGCGAAUCGAGGUUUGUUACCUUCUUCAGGUAGUAGACUUCCGAUACGGUGGUAGUUCUGGCCAUGCAGUCUAAAAACAUAUGGUCCUUUGCCUUCGUUUAUUUCUUUGUCAACAGCUCCUCCCAUUGAUGUGAAUGAGAACAUUGAGUUGUAUGACCUGAUGUUUUCUUUGAAGUUUGUUGCAUCACUUCCUUCACCUGUUAAUAGUCCUGCGAGGUAAGGUGGAGGAUAUGCUAUCUUUGGUAGGUCAAUCUUACCUUGUUUACAGCAAAUUCUGAAAGAAGGUUUUUUGGUUCCUUUAUGAGAAUUUAAUCUUUCCUCACACCAUAGUAUUGCAUUGAAAUGUUCGCAUCUAUAUGUUGGCUUUCCAAAGUUCCAUAUCGUGCUAUCAUAACUUCUGGACGUAGUGCUGCUGCUUGUUUCUAUGAUGUUGCUUUGAAGGUCAUUGUCCCUCCCAUUUCUCCUUGAACGCUUGACAUCUCUUAUUUCAUUGAUUUGUUCCUUUCUCUUCCGUGAAGCAUCUUCUUCUAUUUUAUUGGUUGUUUCAUGUGUAUUCCUGCAUCUCUUACUCCUUUUUUCUUGUAGUUGUUGUUUCCUCCUGAUAAUAGCUUCUUUAGCUUCUUUUGCAAGUGGGCCUGCUGAUUUUGAUGUAUACUGUCCCUUCAUUUCUGCAUUUGAUAUUCUUUUAGCAAUAUAGUAUCAAAUAUUUGAAAGGUACUUUAUGCACAAUGUCAUAAACAAAACAAUGUAUGCACUAAAUAAGAGAUGCUGGCUGCAUGUAGAAACAACCUAUAAUUCUUAUCAAUCAUGCUUUUCAGGAUUGUUGUGUUGCGUGGUUCGAGCUGCAGUGUAUGGCAUUAUUGGUGUGACAGUGUGGUUGUUUCUCAGUGCACGACAAUUGCUCCAUGGGAAUUACUACGGCGAAGUACUCUCAAAGUCAUUUUUAGCACUACACGUAAAAUUAUUUGGUUUUGUAAUAUUUACAAAGGGAAAUCUUUCAAAUGUAUAUUUUAGAGAAGUACAAAAAAUUAGUCAUUACAUGAAGAUAUAAAAAGGUGAAUGAUAUACCUGAUAGUGUCUUCUUGCCUUGGUUUUUAAAAUUUGUAAAGCUUCACACGCUUCUGCUAAUAAAUUAUUGUCACAAUUGUAUCUUUGCUGCAAAGCAAAUCCUGUACUGAUCCUGGAAAGUAUUUCGUGUGAUGUACAAAAUUAUUAGAGCAUAUCUUUCUAUUGCUGCCAUGAUUUUAUCAGUCUGUAUGUCACUUUUAGUUCAUCACAGAAGCUAGUACUGUUUUCUAAAAGAAAAUAGAGCUUAUGUGAAGAGCCAAGGCAUGACGUGUGAGAAUAGCUUAU